AAGUCCCGCGUUGUCAGACAUAUUCGAUUGCAAAUCGAAAGAAGCAGACGAAGGUUUGCCGGGGCUUC
Molecule: transfer RNA, 68 nt
Filed under: Pipa pipa
Lineage: Eukaryota; Metazoa; Chordata; Amphibia; Anura; Pipidae
Description: tRNA-Cys
Source: RNAcentral